This 465-nucleotide ribosomal RNA is filed under the name uncultured bacterium. RNAcentral's name for it is "bacterial SSU rRNA". It matches the Rfam family "Bacterial small subunit ribosomal RNA", at positions 331 to 792 of the family's 1533-position model. The record is from RNAcentral.
CCAGACUCCUACGGGAGGCAGCAGUGAGGAAUAUUGGUCAAUGGGAGGAAUCCUGAACCAGCCAUGCCGCGUGCAGGACGACGGCUCUACGAGUUGUAAACUGCUUUUGUACCGGGGUAAAAUGCCUUACGAGUAGGGUUUUGAAAGUACGGUACGAAUAAGGAUCGGCUAACUCCGCGCCAGCAGCCGCGGUAAUACGGGGGAUGCAAGCGUUAUCCGGAUUUAUUGGGUUUAAAGGGUGCGUAGGCUGUGAGGUAAGUCAGCGGUGAAAUGCCCCCGCUCAACGGGGUGAAGUGCCAUUGAUACUGCCUUGCUGGAAUGCGGAUGCCGUGGGAGGAAUGUGUGGUGUAGCGGUGAAAUGCAUAGAUAUCACACAGAACACCGAUUGCGAAGGCAUCUCACGAAUCCGCGAUUGACGCUGAUGCACGAAAGCGUGGGUAUCAAACAGGAUUAGAUACCCGAGUA